RNAcentral lists this unclassified non-coding RNA (314 nucleotides) under plant metagenome. Its description in RNAcentral is "partial contains 5.8S ribosomal RNA, internal transcribed spacer 2, and large subunit ribosomal RNA". The stretch from base 1 to 105 matches the Rfam family "5.8S ribosomal RNA", at positions 50 to 154 of the family's 154-position model. The record is from RNAcentral.
GAAAUGCGAUAAUUAAUGUGAAUUGCAUAAUUCAGUGAAUCAUCGAGUCUUUGAACGCACAUUGCGCCCCCUGGUAUUCCGGGGGGCAUGCCUGUCCGAGCGUCAUUGCUGCCCUCAAGCACGGCUUGUGUGUUGGGCUUCCGUCCCUGGCAACGCGGACGGGCCCAAAAGGCAGUGGCGGCACCAUGUCUGGUCCUCGAGCGUAUGGGGCUUUGUCACCCGCUCCCGUAGGUCCAGCUGGCAGCUAGCCUCGCAACCAAUCUUUUUAACCAGGUUGACCUCGGAUCAGGUAGGGAUACCCGCUGAACUUAAGC